This 447-nucleotide ribosomal RNA is filed under the name uncultured Streptomyces sp. RNAcentral describes it as "bacterial SSU rRNA". It matches the Rfam family "Bacterial small subunit ribosomal RNA", at positions 337 to 796 of the family's 1533-position model. Lineage: Bacteria; Bacillati; Actinomycetota; Actinomycetes; Kitasatosporales; Streptomycetaceae. The record is from RNAcentral.
GCCUACGGGAGGCUGCAGUGGGGAAUAUUGCACAAUGGGCGCAAGCCUGAUGCAGCGACGCCGCGUGAGGGAUGACGGCCUUCGGGUUGUAAACCUCUUUCAGCAGGGAAGAAGCGCAAGUGACGGUACCUGCAGAAGAAGCGCCGGCUAACUACGUGCCAGCAGACGCGGUAAUACGUAGGGCGCAAGCGUUGUCCGGAAUUAUUGGGCGUAAAGAGCUCGUAGGCGGCUUGUCGCGUCGGUUGUGAAAGCCCGGGGCGUAACCCCGGGUCUGCAGUCGAUACGGGCAGGCUAGAGUUCGGUAGGGGAGAUCGGAAUUCCUGGUGUAGCGGUGAAAUGCGCAGAUAUCAGGAGGAACACCGGUGGCGAAGGCGGAUCUCUGGGCCGAUACUGACGCUGAGGAGCGAAAGCGUGGGGAGCGAACAGGAUUAGAUACCCUUGUAGUCA